GGGCCCGCACAAGCGGUGGAGCAUGUGGUUUAAUUCGAUGCAACGCGAAGAACCUUACCAGGUCUUGACAUCCUGAGAACUUAGCAGAGAUGCUUUGGUGCCUUCGGGAACUCAGAGACAGGUGCUGCAUGGCUGUCGUCAGCUCGUGUUGUGAAAUGUUGGGUUAAGUCCCGUAACGAGCGCAACCCCCUGUCCUUAGUUGCCAGCACGUAAUGGUGGGAACUCAUGGGAUACUGCCGGGGUCAACUCGGAGGAAGGUGGGGAUGACGUCAAAUCAUCAUGCCCCUUAUGUCUUGGGCUUCACGCAUGCUACAAUGGCCGGUACAGAGGGCUGCAAUACCGUAAGGUGGAGCGAA
RNAcentral lists this ribosomal RNA (356 nucleotides) under uncultured bacterium. RNAcentral describes it as "bacterial SSU rRNA". It matches the Rfam family "Bacterial small subunit ribosomal RNA", at positions 917 to 1271 of the family's 1533-position model. The record is from RNAcentral.